GAUGAAGAACGCAGCGAAAUGCGAUACUUGGGGUGAAUUGCAGAAUCCCGUGAACCAUCGAGUCUUUGAACGCAAGUUGCGCCCGAAGCCAUCAGGUUGAGGGCACGUCUGCCUGGGCGUCACAUAUCGUUGCCCAAUGCCUAUUGCAGUGCAAUAGGAAUUUCUAGGGCGAAUGAUGGCUUCCCGUGAGCGUUGUUGCCUCGCGGUUGGUUGAAAAUCGAGUCCUUGGUAGGGUGUGCCAUGGUAGAUGGUGGUCGAGUUAGAACGAUACCGAUCAUGUGCAUGCUCCCCAAAAUAUGGCCUCUAUGACCCACACGCGUCUUUUGACGCUCAUGACGAGACCUCAGGUCAGGCGGGGCUACCCGCUGAAUUUAAGCAUAUCAAUAAGCGGAGGA
This 395-nucleotide unclassified non-coding RNA is filed under the name soil metagenome. RNAcentral's name for it is "partial contains 5.8S ribosomal RNA, internal transcribed spacer 2, and large subunit ribosomal RNA". The stretch from base 1 to 122 matches the Rfam family "5.8S ribosomal RNA", at positions 35 to 154 of the family's 154-position model. The record is from RNAcentral.